Molecule: non-coding RNA, 30 nt
Filed under: Homo sapiens (human)
Lineage: Eukaryota; Metazoa; Chordata; Mammalia; Primates; Hominidae
Source: RNAcentral
CGUGAAGGUACAUUUGUCAAGGCAGGAGGU